Molecule: ribosomal RNA, 230 nt
Filed under: uncultured bacterium
Lineage: Bacteria
Description: partial 16S ribosomal RNA
Rfam family: Bacterial small subunit ribosomal RNA
Source: RNAcentral
AAGCGUGCGCAGGCGGUUAUAUAAGACAGAUGUGAAAUCCCCGGGCUCAACCUGGGAACUGCAUUUGUGACUGUAUAGCUGGAGUGCGGCAGGAGGGGGAUGGAAUUCCGCGUGUAGCAGUGAAAUGCGUAGAUAUGCGGAGGAACACCGAUGGCGAAGGCAAUCCCCUGGGCCUGCACUGACGCUCAUGCACGAAAGCGUGGGGAGCAAACAGGAUUAGAUACCCCAGU